AGUGGCGAACGGGUGAGUAUCACGUGAGAAACCAACCCCGGUCUUUGGGAUAACAGUUGGAAACGACUGCUAAUACCGAAUGCCGUCGUCGCCUCGCAUGGGGCGAUGACGAAAGGGCUACCGGAUCGGGACGGUCUCGCGGCCUAUCAGCUUGUUGGGGAGGUAACGGCUCACCAAGGCUUCGACGGGUAGCUGGUCUGAGAGGAUGAUCAGCCACACUGGGACUGAGACACGGCCCAGACUCCUACGGGAGGCAGCAGUGGGGAAUCUUGCGCAAUGGGCGAAAGCCUGACGCAGCAACGCCGCGUGCGGGAUAAAGGCCUUCGGGCUGUAAACCGCUUUUACCAGGAACGAAAAUGACGGUACCUGGAGAAUAAGGUGCGGCCAACUACGUGCCAGCAGCCGCGGUGACACGUAGGCACCGAGCGUUGUCCGGAUUUAUUGGGCGUAAAGAGCUCGUAGGCGGUUCAGUAAGUCGGGUGUGAAAACUCUGGGCUUAACCCAGAGACGCCACUCAAUACUACUUGACUAGAGUUCGGUAGGGGAGCAGGGAAUUCCUGGUGUACCGGUGAAAUGCGCAGAUAUCAGGAGGAACACCGAUGGCGAAGGCACUGCUCUGGGCCGAUACUGACGCUGAGGAGCGAAAGCGUGGGUAGCAAACAGGAUUAGAUACCCUGGUAGUCCACGCCGUAAACGGUGGGCACUAGGUGUGGGUUCCAACCAA
RNAcentral lists this ribosomal RNA (724 nucleotides) under uncultured bacterium. Its description in RNAcentral is "bacterial SSU rRNA". It matches the Rfam family "Bacterial small subunit ribosomal RNA", at positions 94 to 836 of the family's 1533-position model. The record is from RNAcentral.